RNAcentral lists this microRNA precursor (95 nucleotides) under Gulo gulo (wolverine). Its description in RNAcentral is "mir-346 microRNA precursor family". It matches the Rfam family "mir-346 microRNA precursor family". RNAcentral also lists the same sequence under 2 other names. The record is from Rfam by way of RNAcentral. Lineage: Eukaryota; Metazoa; Chordata; Mammalia; Carnivora; Mustelidae.
GGUCUCUGUGUUGGGCGUCUGUCUGCCCGCAUGCCUGCCUCUUUGUUGCUUGGAAGGAGGCAGGGGCUGGGCCUGCAGCUGCCUGGGCAGAGCGG